Leopardus geoffroyi (Geoffroy's cat) is the source of this 2108-nucleotide long non-coding RNA. RefSeq lists it as uncharacterized. The transcript has 3 exons. The record is from RefSeq and is a predicted model, not a curated record. NCBI's taxonomy places the organism in Eukaryota, Metazoa, Chordata, Mammalia, Carnivora, Felidae.
AGACCUCUCUCCCGCAGGUGCCUGGCUCCGCCCUGUCCCGUCGCACGCGGACGCGCCCAGCAGGGGGCGCCGUCGCCGUGCUCUUGGAGCCGCUGUUCCUUCCACGCGCACCUGCAGUGGGGCGGAAAGGGGCGCGGCCUGGAAUGCGGACAAACCCUCCAGCCCGCUUUCCGGAAGGGGCCCGGGGCGAGUUUAAGCGUAACUUAGACCCGCCCUCGCUGCAGCCGGACGGAAAUUCCCAUCCCGCUGGAACAGGCGAGGGCGCCGAGGAACCCAGAGGACUGCAGCAGGGGGCGCAGGUGUCCGUCCACAAGCUACCUUCCUAGGUGACAGCUCCUGCCAGAGAGCCUCCCAGUAUAUUCCUGCAGGAACGCAGCGCCACGCUCUUCCUGGAGUGGGCGAAAGAUCUAAUAAACUCGAGUUCCUACACGCCGGUUUCAUUAAUGUUACGAAAGCAAACUUUAUCAUUUGCCCGCCGCUCCUUUUUUCGAGGCGGGAGAGGGCGGUAAGAGGCACAGACUCGGUCCCGUAUGCCAUUCUUCCGUCCUCGAAGCACCGAGCAACUACGGAUGAAGUGAGAGCACAUCUCGGCACUGCUUCAAGAGGCCGGGGUGGGAAGGGGGGCAUCUGCGGAAAUAGAUGCUUCCUGUUGUACCCAUGUGAUGGCUGCGAUGUCCUACGAGUUCAUCUGUCCGCCCAACUGUAGUUGUUCAAGUUUUCCUACACCCGCUAAGGGACCAGGUGUGCAGUGUCACCGAAAACCUUUCAAAAAGGCCAAGUCCUUCGAGCCGGAUUCGAACCAGCGACCUAAGGAUGACCACAACCACACGCCUACAGUCCUCCGCUCUACCAACUGAGCUAUUGAAGGCUUGGUGAGAGAGAGAGAGUGCACAAGCAGGGGAGAGGGGCAGGGGGGAGAGAGAAUCUUCAGCAGGUUCCGACACCAGGGCUCGGCUCGAUCUCACACACCACGAGAUCCUGACCUGAGCCAAAAUCAAGAGUCAAAUGCUUAACCAACCGAGCCCCCCAGGAGCCCCUGACUUUUACUGUGUUUAAAUUACAUUUCAAUAGAAGUAAUUAAAAACAAAAGAAAACUGGUCAUCCAUACGGAAACUUCAACACCAACUCGAUGCCAUUGCUAAGCAGUCUGUUUCUUGCUGCCCACGGCCUCCUUAGCACCGAUUCCCAACUUACUCUGUUUACUUGUUCUUUUACCCAUAGUACUUACUAUUUGCAGCGCAUUAUGCAAUUACACAAAUUUGUGUUUAUCCUAUUUUUAAAUCUCCAGUGCGUUCAAGCUGAUGUUUUGUAUCACAUACAAGAGUUUUAGUCGUCCUAAAUGUCACAUUUGGACAGACCUAGUUGCAUUUAUGAAAAGCCGCGUAGAAACAGAUGCAAAUCCUUCACCAGCGAAGGAACCAGCGUGCGUCACUCAGAGAUGCUAGACUUUCAGCAAACUGACGUUCUCAUGGACUUUUAUGUUGUCUCCCCCCAGGGGAAGCCAAGCGUGUUUGGCUUUUAGGAAGGAGGGUGGGCAGAAUCGUUGGUGGCUGCGUGGUGAGCUGUAAUGGACACUAUUGGUUUUCAAAAAUCUCCUGACAUUGUGUUGUACCAUAUCUAAGAUUAGAGUUCUUUACUCCUUUAGAAAUAGAUGUGGCCGUGUGACACAACUGUUUUGACAAAUGAGAUGUCCCUCCUGGAAGUUGGAGAGCCAGUGAGCCAUCCACCACACCCCUCUUGACCCUUCCCCUGACAAAAUAUGAUCUGAGUUGUUGGGGAUCCACAAGGAGCCCACUAGGCAAACCAUGACUGAUUUAUAUGACGCCGAAGAGUUUCCGGUUACGAGCCAUCAUGAUUUGCAGAGGGGGAAUGCUUGUGACGGCAGUGUAACCUACCCUACUCAGGCGGACACAUACAGGAAAUGUGCAAGUCUGAAUCCACGCAGAAGGCUCAUUCUCCUCCUAGGAAAACACCCAACAGAAAUGUGUGAGCUUCUGCACCAAGAGAUAUGUAUGGUAAGAGGGUUCAAAGAUUCGUUGGUUGGUUGGUUUCCAAUUGUCCGUGUUCUAUCGCUGAGUGAAAGAAAAGUUCAGUGACGUUGGCCGAGA